RNAcentral lists this ribosomal RNA (251 nucleotides) under uncultured bacterium. RNAcentral's name for it is "partial 16S ribosomal RNA". It matches the Rfam family "Bacterial small subunit ribosomal RNA", at positions 524 to 776 of the family's 1533-position model. The record is from RNAcentral.
UACGUAGGGUGCGAGCGUUAUCCGGAAUCAUUGGGCGUAAAGAGCUCGUAGGUUCAGCAAGUCGGCUGUGAAAGUCCGAGGCUCAACCUCGGAAUUGCAGUCGAUACUGCUGUGACUCGAGUCCGGUAGAGGAGAAUGGAAUUCUCGGUGUAGCGGUGAAAUGCGCAGAUAUCGAGAGGAACACCAGUAGCGAAGGCGGUUCUCUGGGCCGGCACUGACGCUGAGGAGCGAAAGCGUGGGGAGCAAACAGG